UACGUAGGGUGCAAGCGUUGUCCGGAAUUAUUGGGCGUAAAGAGCUCGUAGGCGGUCUGUCGCGUCUGCUGUGAAAACUCGGGGCUUAACCCCGGGCCUGCAGUGGGUACGGGCAGACUAGAGUGCGGUAGGGGAGACUGGAAUUCCUGGUGUAGCGGUGAAAUGCGCAGAUAUCAGGAGGAACACCGGUGGCGAAGGCGGGUCUCUGGGCAGUAACUGACGCUGGAGGAGCGAAAGCGUGGGGAGCGAACAGG
This 254-nucleotide ribosomal RNA is filed under the name uncultured bacterium. RNAcentral's name for it is "partial 16S ribosomal RNA". It matches the Rfam family "Bacterial small subunit ribosomal RNA", at positions 524 to 776 of the family's 1533-position model. The record is from RNAcentral.